GAGUCUGCAACUCGACUCCAUGAAGUCGGAAUCGCUAGUAAUCGUGGAUCAGAAUGCCACGGUGAAUACGUUCCCGGGCCUUGUACACACCGCCCGUCACACCAUGGGAGUGGGUUGCAAAAGAAGUGGGUAGCUUAACCUUCGGGAGGGCGCUUACCACUUUGUGAUUCAUGACUGGGGUGAAGUCGUAACAAGGUAACCGUAGGGGAACCUGCGGUUGGAUCACCUCCUUACCUUAAAGAAGC
This 245-nucleotide ribosomal RNA is filed under the name Escherichia coli. RNAcentral describes it as "partial 16S ribosomal RNA". It matches the Rfam family "Bacterial small subunit ribosomal RNA", at positions 1301 to 1533 of the family's 1533-position model. Lineage: Bacteria; Pseudomonadati; Pseudomonadota; Gammaproteobacteria; Enterobacterales; Enterobacteriaceae. The record is from RNAcentral.